Molecule: small nucleolar RNA, 131 nt
Organism: Acomys russatus (golden spiny mouse)
Lineage: Eukaryota; Metazoa; Chordata; Mammalia; Rodentia; Muridae
Product: small nucleolar RNA SNORA17
Exons: 1
Source: RefSeq, a predicted model, not a curated record
UCUGCCCCUAGAAGUGUCAUAGGUGUGGUUGCCGAGUCACAUGUAUGUAGGUAAGUGGCAGAGGCGAGACAAGUUAUGUCUACUCUCAGUGUUCAGACCCAUGACAUAUGAAUGAUUUGUAGCCUACCAUU